RNAcentral lists this transfer RNA (89 nucleotides) under Shigella flexneri. RNAcentral's name for it is "tRNA-Ser(gga)". It matches the Rfam family "tRNA". From Rfam's summary of the family: Transfer RNA (tRNA) molecules are approximately 80 nucleotides in length. Their secondary structure includes four short double-helical elements and three loops (D, anti-codon, and T loops). Further hydrogen bonds mediate the characteristic L-shaped molecular structure. tRNAs have two regions of fundamental functional importance: the anti-codon, which is responsible for specific mRNA codon recognition, and the 3' end, to which the tRNAs corresponding amino acid is attached (by aminoacyl-tRNA synthetases). tRNAs cope with the degeneracy of the genetic code in two manners: having more than one tRNA (with a specific anti-codon) for a particular amino acid; and 'wobble' base-pairing, i.e. permitting non-standard base-pairing at the 3rd anti-codon position. The record is from RNAcentral. Lineage: Bacteria; Pseudomonadati; Pseudomonadota; Gammaproteobacteria; Enterobacterales; Enterobacteriaceae.
GGUGAGGUGUCCGAGUGGCCUGAAGGAGCACGCCUGGAAAGUGUGUAUACGGCAACGUAUCGGGGGUUCGAAUCCCCCCCUCACCGCCA